GACGAACGCUGGCGGCGUGCUUAACACAUGCAAGUCGAGCGGAAAGGCCCUGCUUUUGUGUGGUGCUCGAGUGGCGAACGGGUGAGUAACACGUGAGUAACCUGCCCUUGACUUUGUGAUAACUUCAGGAAACUGGGGCUAAUACCUGAUAGGAGCUCCUGCUGCAUGGUGGUGGUUGGAAAGUUUCGGCUGUUGGGGAUGGACUCGCGGCUUACCAGCUUGUUGGUCGGGUAGUGGCUUACCAAGGCUUUGACGGGUAGCCGGCCUGAGAGGGUGACCGGCCACAUGACGACUGAGAUACGGACCAGACGGCAACGUGAGGCAGCAGGGGAGAAUAUGACACAAUGGGCGGAAGCGUGAGGAAGCAACGCCGCGUGCGUGAUGACGGCUUUCGGGUUGUAAACCGCUGUCGCCUGUGACGAAGCGGGAGUGACGGUAAUGGGUAAAGAAGCACCGGCUAACUACGUG
RNAcentral lists this ribosomal RNA (468 nucleotides) under uncultured bacterium. RNAcentral describes it as "partial 16S ribosomal RNA". It matches the Rfam family "Bacterial small subunit ribosomal RNA", at positions 28 to 507 of the family's 1533-position model. The record is from RNAcentral.